This is a long non-coding RNA of Microplitis demolitor, 919 nucleotides long. RefSeq lists it as uncharacterized. NCBI's taxonomy places the organism in Eukaryota, Metazoa, Arthropoda, Insecta, Hymenoptera, Braconidae. The record is from RefSeq and is a predicted model, not a curated record. The transcript is spliced from 3 exons.
CCUUGACCAAAGUUGUUAGGUCGCGUUUGUUGACCAGUCUAAGGUUAAAUUUGGAGAAAAGUCGUCGCCCUGGCGGAACAACUGGUCUUAUUGAAUAUUAUUAUGAUUACUAAUAGUAUUCAUUGAGAUAAAACUAAUAGAUCAAGAUCGUAAAUUUUUCACAUAUCAUCGAAAAAAUCAUAAACAACUGUUAUAUCUUGUUGUUGCUACCCUUGAAAUAUUCCUGAACUCUAACCUCAGGUAUUAAAUACGUAAUAAUAAAAAUUAAAACUCAUACUUCUUGAUAACUGCUUUUUUUUUUAAAUCGAUGUAAUUGUUGAAACAUCAACUUUACGAUCCAAAAUAAUGAGUGUAUUUAGAGGAUUAAGAUUGUUUGCUCUUCGAAUGAGUUCUGUUGAAAAGAAAUUAUUUUCUCAAAAAAAUUUAGUAUAUACAAAUGUCGGUAUUUCGAUGUCGGUCUCUGCUGUAGCAGAUGUUUUAGCGCAACAUUCCGAAAUUUUAAAGGGCAAAUCGAAUGGUUGGUUUCCAAAACAAAUUACUUAUAAUACUAUAGCUGGAAUACCCGUUGGACUUCUCUCUCAUUAGUGGUAUAAAUUUUUAGACGCAAAGCUCCCCGAAAGAACUGUUAAGAUUGUUUUGAAAAAAGUCGCCGUAAAUCAACUUUUUUUUCUUACAAUUUAUGGUGGAAUACUUGCUAUCCCAUUUGCUAUCGCAUUUGCUUUUUUAGAAGAAGAAGACUGGCCGAAGUUUAAAACUGAAUGUGACAAUGACGAUCAAGUGUUAGCUGAAUGGAUUGGAUUCAUACUUUCUCAAAUGAUCAAUUUUUAUUUUGUACCUACAAGAUUUAGAGUUCUUUAUGAAUAUACUGCUUCUUUGGGUUAUGAUAUUUACACCGGUCAAGUUAUACAUAAACAUACUG